GACGAACGCUGGCGGCGUGCUUAACACAUGCAAGUCGAACGGAAAGGCCCUGCUUUUGUGGGGUGCUCGAGUGGCGAACGGGUGUGUAACACGUGAGUAACCUGCCCUUGACUUUGGGAUAACUUCAGGAAACUGGGGCUAAUACCGGAUAGGAGCUCCUGCUGCAUGGUGGGGGUUGGAAAGUUUCGGCGGUUGGGGAUGGACUCGCGGCUUAUCAGCUUGUAGGUGGGGUAGUGGCUUACCAAGGCUUUGACGGGUAGCCGGCCUGAGAGGGUGACCGGCCAAAUUGGGACUGAGAUACGGCCGAGACUCCUACGGGAGGCAGCAGUGGGGAAUAUUGCACAAUGGGCGGAAGCCUGAUGCAGCCACGCCGCGUGCGGGAUGACGGACUUCGGGUUGUAAACCGCUUUCGCCUGUGACGAAGCGUGAGUAACGGUAAUGGGUAAAGAAGCACCGGCUAACUACGUG
This 468-nucleotide ribosomal RNA is filed under the name uncultured bacterium. Its description in RNAcentral is "partial 16S ribosomal RNA". It matches the Rfam family "Bacterial small subunit ribosomal RNA", at positions 28 to 507 of the family's 1533-position model. The record is from RNAcentral.